RNAcentral lists this ribosomal RNA (438 nucleotides) under uncultured eukaryote. RNAcentral describes it as "partial small subunit ribosomal RNA". It matches the Rfam family "Eukaryotic small subunit ribosomal RNA", at positions 567 to 972 of the family's 1831-position model. The record is from RNAcentral.
CCAGCAGCCGCGGUAAUUCCGGCUCCAAUAGCGUAUAUUAAAGUUGCUGCAGUUAAAAAGCUCGUAGUUGGAUUUCUGGGGGGUUUUUUUGGGGGAUAUGAGGGGUUAGGGUUGGCUAACACCAGCUCUUUCCAUUCUGUCUCCCUACCUCCUAUAAAUACUUCUCGAAGCCGGUGGGUGCACUUUACUGUGUGCUUGCUAGUAUGGAUUCGGGACAUUUACUUUGAAAAAAUUAGAGUGUUCAAAGCAGGCGUUGUUGCUUGAAUACAUUAGCAUGGGAUAAUGGAAUAGGACUUUGGUUCUAUUUUGUUGGUUUCUGGGACCGAAGUAAUGAUUAAUAGGGACAGUUGGGGGCAUUAGUAUUUAAUUGUCAGAGGUGAAAUUCUUGGAUUUAUGAAAGACUAACUACAGCGAAAGCAUUUGCCAAGGAUGUUUUCA